RNAcentral lists this ribosomal RNA (488 nucleotides) under uncultured bacterium. RNAcentral's name for it is "bacterial SSU rRNA". It matches the Rfam family "Bacterial small subunit ribosomal RNA", at positions 31 to 507 of the family's 1533-position model. The record is from RNAcentral.
GAACGCUAGCUACAGGCUUAACACAUGCAAGUCGAGGGGCAGCAUGGUCUUAGCUUGCUAAGGCCGAUGGCGACCGGCGCACGGGUGAGUAACACGUAUCCAACCUGCCGUCUACUCUUGGACAGCCUUCUGAAAAGGAAGAUUAAUACAAGAUGGCAUCAUGAGUCCACAUGUUCACAUGAUUAAAGGUAUUCCGGUAGACGAUGGGGAUGCGUUCCAUUAGAUAGUAGGCGGGGUAACGGCCCACCAAAGCGACGAUGGAUAGGGGUUCUGAGAGGAAGGUCCCCCACAUUGGAACUGAGACACGGUCCAAACUCCUACGGGAGGCAGCAGUGAGGAAUAUUGGUCAAUGGUCGGCAGACUGAACCAGCCAAGUCGCGUGAGGGAAGACGGCCCUACGGGUUGUAAACCUCUUUUGUCGGAGAGUAAAGUACGCUACGUGUAGCGUAUUGCAAGUAUCCGAAGAAAAAGCAUCGGCUAACUCCGUG